Ailuropoda melanoleuca (giant panda) is the source of this 1020-nucleotide long non-coding RNA. RefSeq lists it as uncharacterized. The transcript has 3 exons. The record is from RefSeq and is a predicted model, not a curated record. Lineage: Eukaryota; Metazoa; Chordata; Mammalia; Carnivora; Ursidae.
CUCUCUCUCUGGCUGUCUCUAUCUCUGUCAAAUAAAUAAAUAAAAUCUUUUAAAAAAAUAAAUAAAUAAAAAAAUAAAGAGAACACCAAUGGCACAACUAGAUUAUUUCUUGAUAGAGUUUAUGGGAUUGUAUGAGCAGAAACACAGCCAAUUUGAACUGAAGGGGAUGAGAUGGGGCCAAAUGAAGGAAGGCUGUUGGACUUACUGAAUUUGACAGGACAGAAUGAUAGAGCUGUUCGGCUGUGAACAUGCACUAUUCUGCAGGAAGAGGGGAAAAUGACCUUGAAAGUGGUUGAGAGAUCAUCAGGGCCACUGCCGCAGUUUCAGCAGCCUUGGGAGUGGGACAACCCAGCAGAACCUUGGGGGUGAUGCUGCCACCUACUGUACCUGGAGGGCAGAGCAUUGAACCAGGGAGGAGGAUUAUUUUCAAGCCUUCAAAUCUAAUGGAAUUUUUGUCUUGCUAAUUUUUGAAUUUGCUUGGGGCCAUCACCCCUUCCUUCUUCUCCCUUUUGGAAUGAAAAUGUCUGUCCUGUGCCUGUCCCACUAUUGUAUUUUGAAAGCACAUAACUUGUCUGAUUUCACAGAUUCAUAGCUGCCUCAGGAUGAAUCAUACCUCCAGUCUCACGAUAUCUGAUUUAGAUGAUACUCAGACAGCCAUGUGAAUACAGAGAUAACGUAGAAUGCCAUUUGAAGAUAAAAAUAGAGAUCAGAGUGAUGUAGCAGAAGCCAAAGAAUGCCAGAGAUUGCCAGCAAACCACCAGAAGCGAGGGGAGAGCAUGGGACAGGUUUUCUUUCACAGCCCCCAGAAGGAACCAAGCCUGUUGACACCUUCAGCUCAGACUUCUAGCUUCCAGAACUGUAAGAAGAGAGGCAACGUGGGAACCAUGGAAGAGCUUCUCCCCAAACCCGAAUGAAGAAAUAAUGAUUUUUUUAAAAAAAGAUUUUAUUUAUCCAUUUGACAGAGAGAGAGCACAAGCAGGGGGAGCAGCAGGCAGAGGGAGAGGGAGAAGCAGGCUCCCC